UGGGGAAUAUUGGACAAUGGGGGCAACCCUGAUCCAGCGACGCCGCGUGUGUGAAGAAGGCCUGCGGGUUGUAAAGCACUUUUAGUGGGGAGGAAAUGCUCAGACCUAACACGUCUGGGAACUGACUUAACCCAAAGAAAAAGCACCGGCUAACUCUGUGCCAGCAGCCGCGGUAAUACAGAGGGUGCAAGCGUUAAUCGGAAUUACUGGGCGUAAAGCGUGCGCAGACGGUUAUCUAAGUCGAGUGUGAAAGCCCCGGGCUCAACCUGGGAAUUGCAUUCGAAACUGAAUAGCUAGGGUGCGGAAGAGGGAAGUGGAAUUUCCGGUGUAGCGGUGAAAUGCGUAGAUAUCGGAAGGAACAUCAGUGGCGAAAGCGACUUCCUGGUCCAGCACCGACGUUCAGGCACGAAAGCGUGGGGAGCAAACAGG
RNAcentral lists this ribosomal RNA (429 nucleotides) under uncultured Sinobacteraceae bacterium. RNAcentral's name for it is "bacterial SSU rRNA". It matches the Rfam family "Bacterial small subunit ribosomal RNA", at positions 355 to 776 of the family's 1533-position model. Lineage: Bacteria; Pseudomonadati; Pseudomonadota; Gammaproteobacteria; Nevskiales; Nevskiaceae. The record is from RNAcentral.